GAAGGUAUAGCUCAGUGGUAGAGUGCAUGCUUAGCACGCACAAAGUCCUGGGUUCAAUCUCUGGUACCACCA
Molecule: transfer RNA, 72 nt
Filed under: Camelus bactrianus (Bactrian camel)
Lineage: Eukaryota; Metazoa; Chordata; Mammalia; Artiodactyla; Camelidae
Also listed under: 2 other names
Rfam family: tRNA
About the family: Transfer RNA (tRNA) molecules are approximately 80 nucleotides in length. Their secondary structure includes four short double-helical elements and three loops (D, anti-codon, and T loops). Further hydrogen bonds mediate the characteristic L-shaped molecular structure. tRNAs have two regions of fundamental functional importance: the anti-codon, which is responsible for specific mRNA codon recognition, and the 3' end, to which the tRNAs corresponding amino acid is attached (by aminoacyl-tRNA synthetases). tRNAs cope with the degeneracy of the genetic code in two manners: having more than one tRNA (with a specific anti-codon) for a particular amino acid; and 'wobble' base-pairing, i.e. permitting non-standard base-pairing at the 3rd anti-codon position.
Source: Rfam by way of RNAcentral